GACGAACGCUGGCGGCGUGCCUAAUACAUGCAAGUUGAGCGCUGAAGGUUGGUACUUGUACCGACUGGAUGGGCAGCGCACGGGUGAGUAACGCGUGGGGAAUCUGCCUUUGAGCGGGGGACAACAUUUGGAAACGAAUGCUAAUACCGCAUAAAAACUUUAAACACAAGUUUUAAGUUUGAAAGAUGCAAUUGCAUCACUCAAAGAUGAUCCCGCGUUGUAUUAGCUAGUUGGUGAGGUAAAGGCUCACCAAGGCGAUGAUACAUAGCCGACCUGAGAGGGUGAUCGGCCACAUUGGGACUGAGACACGGCCCAUACUCCUACGGGAGGCAGCAGUAGGGAAUCUUCGGCAAUGGACGAAAGUCUGACCGAGCAACGCCGCGUGAGUGAAGAAGGUUUUCGGAUCGUAAAACUCUGUUGGUAGAGAAGAACGUUGGUGAGAGUGGAAAGCUCACCAAGUGACGGUAACUACCCAGAAAGGGACGGCUAACUACGUG
This 497-nucleotide ribosomal RNA is filed under the name uncultured bacterium. RNAcentral describes it as "partial 16S ribosomal RNA". It matches the Rfam family "Bacterial small subunit ribosomal RNA", at positions 28 to 507 of the family's 1533-position model. The record is from RNAcentral.